AAAGGGAGACCUAAUUCAGGUAGGAGACGAAAAAAAAGUAGUCGCUACCAAGAAUCAAUCCCAAAAGGUCGGAGCGAGGCAAAAUUGGCUUUCAAACUAGGUUCUGGGUUCACACAAGACCUGAAUCAGGAACAAGGGCUAUUAGCUCAGGUGGUUAGAGCGCACCCCUGAUAAGGGUGAGGUCCCUGGUUCGAGUCCAGGAUGGCCCACCUGUACAGGUGGCAAAAAGAAAGAAAAGAAGCGAGGAAUCAGCACCUUAUCUUACUUAUAUAGUAGGAGAGAAUGCUGGCUCUGAGUACAGAGUCCAGAGGAACCUUGAAAACUGCAUAGAGCUAGGUGAAAAAGCCAAAAAAGAAGACCGCAAG
Molecule: transfer RNA, 365 nt
Filed under: uncultured Microcystis sp.
Lineage: Bacteria; Bacillati; Cyanobacteriota; Cyanophyceae; Chroococcales; Microcystaceae
Description: partial 16S-23S ribosomal RNA intergenic spacer
Rfam family: tRNA (bases 136-209)
Source: RNAcentral